RNAcentral lists this ribosomal RNA (592 nucleotides) under uncultured bacterium. Its description in RNAcentral is "bacterial SSU rRNA". It matches the Rfam family "Bacterial small subunit ribosomal RNA", at positions 334 to 917 of the family's 1533-position model. The record is from RNAcentral.
UACUCCUACGGGAGGCAGCAGUGGGGAAUCUUCCGCAAUGGACGAAAGUCUGACGGAGCAACGCCGCGUGAGUGAUGACGGCCUUCGGGUUGUAAAGCUCUGUUAAUCGGGACGAAAGGCCUUCUUGCGAAUAGUGAGAAGGAUUGACGGUACCGGAAUAGAAAGCCACGGCUAACUACGUGCCAGCAGCCGCGGUAAUACGUAGGUGGCAAGCGUUGUCCGGAAUUAUUGGGCGUAAAGCGCGCGCAGGCGGAUAGGUCAGUCUGUCUUAAAAGUUCGGGGCUUAACCCCGUGAUGGGAUGGAAACUGCCAAUCUAGAGUAUCGGAGAGGAAAGUGGAAUUCCUAGUGUAGCGGUGAAAUGCGUAGAUAUUAGGAAGAACACCAGUGGCGAAGGCGACUUUCUGGACGAAAACUGACGCUGAGGCGCGAAAGCCAGGGGAGCGAACGGGAUUAGAUACCCCGGUAGUCCUGGCCGUAAACGAUGGGUACUAGGUGUAGGAGGUAUCGACCCCUUCUGUGCCGGAGUUAACGCAAUAAGUACCCCGCCUGGGGAGUACGACCGCAAGGUUGAAACUCAAAGGAAUUGACGGA